This 59-nucleotide microRNA precursor is filed under the name Xenoturbella bocki. Its description in RNAcentral is "Xbo-Mir-190_pre stem-loop". Lineage: Eukaryota; Metazoa; Xenacoelomorpha; Xenoturbellidae. The record is from RNAcentral.
UGAUAUGUUUGAUAUAGGGGUUGGGAUUUGUGUACCAACCGUAUGUUAAACAUGUCUCA